AAGACCUUGCACUUUUGGAGCGGCCGAUGUCUGAUUAGCUAGUUGGUGGGGUAAUGGCCUACCAAAGCUUCGAUCAGUAGCUGGUCUGAGAGGACGGCCAGCCACACUGGGACUGAGACACGGCCCAGACUCCUACGGGAGGCAGCAGUGGGGAAUUUUGGACAAUGGGCGCAAGCCUGAUCCAGCCAUGCCGCGUGAGUGAAGAAGGCCUUCGGGUUGUAAAGCUCUUUCAGCCGGGAAGAAAAGGUUGCGACUAAUAAUCGCAAUUCAUGACGGUACCGAAAGAAGAAGCACCGGCUAACUACGUGCCAGCAGCCGCGGUGAUACGUAGGGUACGAGCGUUAAUCGGAAUUACUGGGCGUAAAGGGUGCGCAGGCGGUUUUGUAAGUCAGAUGUGAAAUCCCCGGGCUUAACCUGGGAACU
Molecule: ribosomal RNA, 423 nt
Filed under: uncultured bacterium
Lineage: Bacteria
Description: bacterial SSU rRNA
Rfam family: Bacterial small subunit ribosomal RNA
Source: RNAcentral